ACCUUUCCCCACCCUAGCCCCAGAGCUGCCAGUCCAGCCCAGAGAGGAAAUCCAACCCUGUGUCCCCACGGAGACCCAGCACAAGUCCUGGGAGGGUGACGGCUGAGCAGGGGGGACACAACACAUGCCUCACAUCCUCCUGCUUCGUCCUCGAAGAAUCCGAUGCCCCAUAACCUUGGAAGUCCAAUACAUAUAGAGUGAGCACCCGCCAUGUCCUAGGCACCCCACCAGCCCUGAUCCACCCAAUCUGCACGAUUGCACACUGACCACAUUCUAACUCACUUUGCUCGCCCUCCUCUAAUUCCUUUUGCGAGCCCCUAUUGGGCACAAAUCCUUGGCAGACUUGGGGAAAGUCUGGGACAAGCAGGAUUCUAAUGAGGUUCUGAGCUCCGCACAUGUGCAGGUUAGGGAACAGCAGGAAAUAGAGGUCCACUGGUUGAGGGGGCAGAGUAGGUAGUUAGAUCUGGGAGGUUUCCUGGAAGAAGCGGCUGGGAAAGAUGAAUGACUGCUCCCCAGGGAAGAGGCCCACCCUCCUGCCCUGGAAGCCCCCAGGCUGGACUUCAGAGUCCAACUCCUCCUCCAGUCCUCUAUGCUUUCUAUUUGCAUUGAUAAAGCGCCCACUAGGUGCUCUCUAGCUGAAGCCCUAGGGGUCCAAAUGGACAUGCAAAGGAGAGCAUCUACCUACUGAUAGCUCCCAGCCUUGUCUGUCUGGCCCUCGCCUGAUGCCUCCAGGGAAGGGCACCCUGAGCCUAGAUCACGCCUGGAUCACCUGCUCAUUUCAUCCAGAGACCCACAGAAGACCAGCCAUGCUCUCAAGAUCCCACAGCAACUCAGUGACUGUGUUUUGCCUGGAGGCCCCCAACACACAGGGUCACAAGCUUCUACCUGACGAGGCUUGCCCUUAGACCAGUUAACCCCAGGCAAGGAUUGCGCUAACCUCACCGGGUUCCACAUAACCACUUUUUCCGGAAACUCACUCAUCUUGGGCGCGUGGGGGGGGGGGUGGUGUACUAGUGGCGUGGUGAUUAUAUUU
Molecule: long non-coding RNA, 1033 nt
Organism: Suricata suricatta (meerkat)
Lineage: Eukaryota; Metazoa; Chordata; Mammalia; Carnivora; Herpestidae
Exons: 3
Source: RefSeq, a predicted model, not a curated record